UGGCGAACGGGUGAGUAACACGUGGGUGAUCUGCCCUGCACUCUGGGAUAAGCCUGGGAAACUGGGUCUAAUACCGGAUAGGACCAUGCUUUAGUGUGUGUGGUGGAAAGUUUUUUCGGUGUAGGAUGAGCCCGCGGCCUAUCAGCUUGUUGGUGGGGUAAUGGCCUACCAAGGCGGCGACGGGUAGCCGGACUGAGAGGUUGGUCGGCAACAUUGGGACUGAGAUACGGCCCAG
RNAcentral lists this ribosomal RNA (235 nucleotides) under uncultured Actinomycetales bacterium. Its description in RNAcentral is "partial 16S ribosomal RNA". It matches the Rfam family "Bacterial small subunit ribosomal RNA", at positions 96 to 334 of the family's 1533-position model. The record is from RNAcentral. Lineage: Bacteria; Bacillati; Actinomycetota; Actinomycetes; Actinomycetales.